RNAcentral lists this ribosomal RNA (252 nucleotides) under uncultured prokaryote. RNAcentral's name for it is "partial 16S rRNA". It matches the Rfam family "Archaeal small subunit ribosomal RNA", at positions 475 to 726 of the family's 1478-position model. The record is from RNAcentral.
ACCGGCGGCGCGAGUGGUGGCCACUAUUACUGGGCUUAAAGCGUUCGUAGGCCCCCCCCCCCCUCCCCCCCGAACUCUCCCGGCCCAACCCCCCGGCGUCCCAGGGAUACUGGCAGGCUAGGGCCCGGAAGAGGUGAGAGGUGCCCCAGGGGUAGGAGUGAAAUCCGGUGAUCCUUGGGGGACCACCGGUGGCGAAGGCGUCUCACCAGGACGGCUCCGACAGUGAGGAACGAAAGCUGGGGGAGCAAACCG